UAUCUUAUGUAUUUCAGACUACAGUAAUCAAAUUUAGGUUAGAAACUCUUAUUCUCUUUACUUACAUACCACAGUUUCUCAGUCCACAUAAAAAAACGUCGUAUAUACCAUGUAUGUACUUCGUACAUGUUACGCAUAUUCAUACUGAUA
Molecule: long non-coding RNA, 150 nt
Organism: Bradysia coprophila
Lineage: Eukaryota; Metazoa; Arthropoda; Insecta; Diptera; Sciaridae
Source: RefSeq, a predicted model, not a curated record